RNAcentral lists this ribosomal RNA (603 nucleotides) under uncultured bacterium. RNAcentral's name for it is "bacterial SSU rRNA". The stretch from base 1 to 538 matches the Rfam family "Bacterial small subunit ribosomal RNA", at positions 338 to 873 of the family's 1533-position model. The record is from RNAcentral.
CCUACGGGAGGCAGCAGUGGGGAAUUUUGGACAAUGGACGCAAGUCUGAUCCAGCAAUGCCGCGUGCAGGACGAAGGCCUUCGGGUUGUAAACUGCUUUUGUACGGAACGAAACGGUCUGCUUUAAUACAGUGGGCUAAUGACGGUACCGUAAGAAUAAGCACCGGCUAACUACGUGCCAGCAGCCGCGGUAAUACGUAGGGUGCGAGCGUUAAUCGGAAUUACUGGGCGUAAAGCGUGCGCAGGCGGUUAUAUAAGUCAGAUGUGAAAUCCCCGGGCUCAACCUGGGACCUGCAUUUGAGACUGUAUAGCUAGAGUACGGUAGAGGGGGAUGGAAUUCCGCGUGUAGCAGUGAAAUGCGUAGAUAUGCGGAGGAACACCGAUGGCGAAGGCAAUCCCCUGGACCUGUACUGACGCUCAUGCACGAAAGCGUGGGGAGCAAACAGGAUUAGAUACCCUGGUAGUCCACGCCCUAAACGAUGUCAACUGGUUGUUGGGUCUUCACUGACUCAGUAACGAAGCUAACGCGNGAGUGCGCGNGGNGACGCGCGAGUAGAGANANAGAGUGNGNGNGAGAGNGCGACGACGACGACGAGGGAGGNGG